Molecule: ribosomal RNA, 119 nt
Filed under: Triticum aestivum (bread wheat)
Lineage: Eukaryota; Viridiplantae; Streptophyta; Magnoliopsida; Poales; Poaceae
Source: RNAcentral
GGAUGCGAUCAUAGCAGCACUAAAGCACCGGAUCCCAUCAGAACUCCGAAGUUAAGCGUGCUUGGGCGAUAGUAGUACUAGGAUGGGUGACCUCCUGGGAAGUCCUCGUGUUGCAUUCC